AAUAUUCAAAAAAUAGAGAUUAGCUACAAAAUAAUUUAAAAAAUGUCAACGAGUCGAUCAAGCCGAGGCACGGAUAUCUCGCUCUCUUUAAGUAGAUUCAAGUCCUCUGCGUUUGGCAAAGCCUUUGAACCGAUGCAGCAGAGCACUGACUUGUCCCCUCCAGAAUACAACGGCUCGACUCUCGUCGUGUGGCUUCACCAACUUUGCACAAGUAGAUGAGCCCAAAGCUCCACCAAAAGAGACACCUUUUUUUGACAUUCUCUCUCUCAAGUAUAAUUAAAAUAGCUUGUUGUUUGAUGAGUUGUAUGUAAGUGAAUAGAGAAGA
This 325-nucleotide long non-coding RNA is filed under the name Ananas comosus (pineapple). Its description in RNAcentral is "long non-coding RNA (ACOM_LNC007606)". Lineage: Eukaryota; Viridiplantae; Streptophyta; Magnoliopsida; Poales; Bromeliaceae. The record is from RNAcentral.